ACAAAAUUCAUCGAGCAACAACAAAACCCGACCCUAUUCGAUAAUCGCGAACAACGACAACUCCGAACAACAUCGAAAAUCAACCAACCAAGCCAUCAACAGCUUUGCCAAAACCCAAGACUCUGACCCAACUCUUCUCACACGCAUCUUACACGAUGGCAUGAUGAGGAGGGUUUGAAACUCUUAUAGAAUACGCCUAGAUGUCCUUCCAAAGGUUUGAUUAUGUGAAUUUUGGAUGAAGUAGUAUGAAUUCGUAAACAUUUGGGAAAAUACUAUUGGUUUUCGGAGAUUAUUCCUUUUCCCCAAUCUCCAUUGUCCAACACAUUUGGAAUUUUCUCAACAACAAUCCAAAUUUGUACAAGUUGUUGUUUGAAAACCCUAUCCUAAGCUUGAAUUCAAAUUUUUUCCCUACUGAAAAUCCCAAAAAUACCCCCAAUUUCUCCUAAUCCCACAUCAGUGGAGCUUAAGAGGGGACCCUAAUUUUGUUUCUAUAAAAAGAGCUCACUAUUGAGCCAAGAGAGAGUCGGGAAAAAUUUUGGGAAAGCUGGAAGAGAUAAAGAAUUUGACUCAGAGGACAAGAAAUUUCUUUAGCAGAGCUAUUAGAAAAAGAGAAAGAAAAAUAGUUUUCGAGAGGAAAAGUGAAUUUUUCUUUAGUAAAAUUUUUUUGAGAAAAGGAGUCGACGAGUCAAAUUCUUGCGGUGACUACGAUAAUUUUUGGUGGUGGUCAAGAUCCCGGCAUCAGUUUGUAAUCCCGUUUUGCUGCUCUGAAAGAGGUAAACAUGUUUUUCCAUUUUUUUCCUAUUAUCAUUUUCUUUUCUCUCUUCUUCAUCUCCUUCUGGUAUAGUUAUAAUGUUGCUUGUCUGCUGGGAGUAGCUGUAGAGGCCUCGUCGGCUGUAGGAUUUGCUUGAGCAUGUUGUUGUAGGAUCGCUUUGUAUGAGUUCACUACUCUGUGUUACUGAUGUUACUUAUCUGUGUAUGCUUAAUAACGGAUGGGUUUAUAAUUCAUUAAAUAUUAAUGUCGAUUAGUCGUAAUGUUACAAUAUGAAUUAGCAUAUAUAAAGGUUGUCGAGAUUCUGCCCCUUCUUGUUUAGUUCAUUGUUGAGAUUCGAUGAUUUCUACGGUGAAAAUUUAACUUCCAGUUUGUUUGAUGAGCAUUAAAGAAGAGUUUCUUGAAUUAUUGUUCAUCAUUUAGACCUCGAGUUCGUCUAAAUCUCAUAAUCUAGGGGCAAAUCGGCUUGUAAAACCACUGUAGUGUUGAAAUUUUAUUAAUUCUUAUGCCAGGUUUACACUUGGAUAUUGUAGUCUGACUUGCCAUACCUUCAGCUGAUUGUCUCGUUUAAGUCCUUAAACAUCAAUUUAGUAUGGUGUUUCCUUGGUUGUGAAUGGUUUUCUACCUUUUAAUAUUGUUUUUUAGUCACUAGUAGAACUUUAAUCGAUUGUAUUCACCCGUUGCAAGUUGCCGUCUGAUUCUCUGGACCUUUAAAGUCACUAAAAAUAAUACUUGUGGGUUUACAGUACGGUUGACAAUCUUAUGAAACCUCAACGAUCUUUCCUUUGACCUUUGAAAGUUCAUUUCAAGUUGGUCAAAGAGAAGGUGAGGAGGAGCUUAUAGUAUAUUCCAUCUUGGGGUGGUGAAGCCUAAAUAUCAUUUCUUGUGAAUCCGUGUGCAUACUUACAACUUUUUUGUGCUCAUGUUAGUCUUGGAAACUUGCGUCAUUUGAUAAUUAGUUAUAAGCCGAUUCUGGUCAUCGAACAUGGACAAACUUAUGGUCUUUGAACAUGUGGUUUACCAAAGGGCUAUCUAUGUCAUAUUUUCUCUCUCGUAGAAAUCAAGACUAGGAACGAGACUCGCCCUUAGCAUGGCCUGUUCUCGUUUCCUGAAGGUCUUCUCGCCUAUAACUUUAUUGGACUAUCAAUAAAGAUAAGGCCUUUACUAUUUAAAAACACUUUUAUUAUAUUUCGUGUUGUGGAUAAAUAAGGGGUCCAUUUGGAAGGUUAAUUUUCUGUUUAGAUAAAAUGUGAGGUUAUUGAAGUGUUGGAUAUUUACCCUCCUUUGUUUGAGCCUUGUUCUACGAACUUCUUUUCAUUGGCUAGUCGAUUAUAUUCAGAAAUUGUAUUUAUUCCUUUUUGUUCUAUGUGACAUCAAGCCUAAUUCACUGUUGUAUUCAUAUACUGGAAGUUUAUAUAUUUACACCUGUGGUUUCCAUGUAUGUUACAUAAUGUGAAGUUACCUUUGUUAAACUAACUUUUCAUGCUUUAUAUACAUGAUAAUAUAGUAUUCGUUUAAAUAUUAACUUUAGGACAUAUUAAUUGCUUUAUUCCUUUUCUUUCGCAUGUGGAUACUCUCGAGUCUUACAUGGACUCUUUUCCUUUCGCAUAUCUAUCAUGGGCCAAUGAGGCAUAUCCUUCGAUUCAGGACCCGGAAGAAAGUCUAAAAUGAGUUCCAAGGCAUAAGGAGACAAGGGGUCGAAAGGAGAAGAAUGGGUUAAAAUCCCAUCUUUGAAGCUGCUAAGGGACUUGAAAGUCUCAUUUGUUAUUUUAUUUAUUCUUGUCUUUAUUUAUUUUAUUUAUUUAUUCAUUCAUUUGGUCCUCGAAGCCAAAGUUGUAUUUAAUACAGAUAAAGCAAAACUCGGGCCAAAGGUUCGAAGAAUAGUUUAGGACAUGUUAUAGGUCAAAACCUAAUAUCUAGAUUAGGACAGGUAAAAUUGGGCCGGAAGCCCAAUUAGACUAGGACAGGGUGAUGGAUUUGGUUUAAGAGCCCAAAUUAUUUAUUUCUUCCCCUCUUUACCUUUUUCUACGUUGUUUGCUUGCGAACCUAGUUAAACCUCUAACUAAGUCGCUAAAAAAUUGAUUUUGCAAAAAUUUUCAAAAUACUCCUUAAUCAACUUCUUUUCAACACCAGACUUUUUCUUUUAGAAGUUAGUCAAAAGGAAAUUAUUUUUCAAAAAAUCUGGAUAACUGCAAGUUAGCAGAAAUUUUAGGUGUCUUAAAAACCUUUCUAAAAUGUUGGAAUCGCAUACAUAGAAUUUCAAAACUUAAAUGAUUUUCCUAUUUUGAAUUUUCUAAGUACUUUAUAAAGGUUUUCUUAAUUCUUUUUCAAAUAAAUUAAGUGGCGACUCUGAAAGUCAUAUUUUCGCAAAACAGAAAUGGUCACUCUGCUGGGGAACUUUUAACUAGGUUCUAACCAAAUGUUUGAAUUUAUAUUUUGACUAACUGUUUAAACUAUUUACGUGCUUAAAUGUUUCAAUUCUGUGAAAUUUAACUGUUGCAUUUCAUGGCAUUAUCCUACAUGAUGAUUAUUAAACUGUUUUGGGGUUUCAUGGAUGUCCCAGCUACUGUUGUUCAACUCCAAUUGCAGUGUUGGAAAUAUGAUAUUUUAUUAGCACGUGAGGCGUCUAAUGGUUUUUUCGUAUUUCCAAACCCAAGUCAUCUACUUGGGAACCUGUGUUCAAACCCACUCUAGAAACCCAGGAUAGAGCUAAACCAAAAUCCUUUUAGGCAUAAGCCUAGGAUGACCCAAUACUCGAAGGAGGUAUUGGGCCCAUUAGAAAAUUUGACCUAUGUAUAUUGACCCCGAGUCAAUUGUAGAACUGACGAAAUAUAUAUUUGUUUAAUCCAAUCCAUUAUCCUUUAGGGGUCAGGAGAAGGCUUGCUUUGUUUACUUUCGUGUAAGGAUGCCUCAAUAAUACACCAAUUGAGGGAGGAACUGAAGCAAGUCGAGCAAGAAAUUGAUAGAUUUAGACGGUUGCAUCUAGAGCACAGUUAUACGAAAAUUGCUUGAUCAUCAACAUAUGUCUCCAAUUACAAAAAGAGGACAAAUCUAAGAGGUCGAAGGUCGAUAUAAGAGCAUUCAGGAACUAGUAUUUCCUAUCCCCUGCGUGGGACAUUAUUUUUUUUCUCAUGUUAUUUUUCCUUUCCCUAAAGAUUGUAUCCCUUUUGUGUAACUUUUGUAGGAAUUUAUGCCAUUUAUGUACACCUAUGAAGGUUUUAGGGGGGAUAAUGGAUUGGUUUCAAAUAAUGAUAUACUUUCUUCAAAUACGUUAGGCCAACCCUUGGCUCAAAAGGGUCACCCAACUAGGAUAUGCAUUUUUAUGUGAUAUAACUGUCUUAUGUGUUUAUGUAUGUUUGUUUGAAUCAAAGACAAAUUUAUCCACUAUGCUCUCGUGGAUCAGUUUGGCUAUGACGCAAAUAACACUAUGUGAUUACUUUUUGUCAAAUAUCUUGCAUUACUUAUCACAUAUGGGAACUAACACAUAUGUCUUUGACUUAUUUUACUUUGCAGAUAACAGAAAACUACUCCAUGUUGAAAAAAGCUGGAAGAACAUCCUUACUUCACCUGGUCAAAAGCGUAUAAGAUCUCAUCGCCUAACCAUCAUUCAAAU
Molecule: long non-coding RNA, 4382 nt
Filed under: Capsicum annuum
Lineage: Eukaryota; Viridiplantae; Streptophyta; Magnoliopsida; Solanales; Solanaceae
Description: long non-coding RNA (CANN_LNC015858)
Source: RNAcentral